Molecule: small nuclear RNA, 22 nt
Filed under: Arabidopsis thaliana (thale cress)
Lineage: Eukaryota; Viridiplantae; Streptophyta; Magnoliopsida; Brassicales; Brassicaceae
Description: snRNA_04764
Source: RNAcentral
UGGCACUCACUGGUGUGAUGAU